AUGCCAGACGAGAGCAUGAUAUUAUUAUAUACAAAACGCGUGGCCUACGCAUUAAAAGCGAAAAAGGAUUAGUCCGGGCUUGGGAAGUAUUACUAUUACACGCGCGUAUACGACGGCAAUAUUAUUAAUUUAAUACAAUACGCCGCGGUAGACGAGACCCACGAAUUUGUUCGGGAAUAUAUAGAAAAAAAAAAAAAGAAAAAAAAACGGCCGCGGAGUUAUUAACGAUCCCGCGCGAUUGAUAUGCAAAUUGUUCGUAUUUGCCUUUU
Non-coding RNA from Cinara cedri, 269 nucleotides. NCBI's taxonomy places the organism in Eukaryota, Metazoa, Arthropoda, Insecta, Hemiptera, Aphididae. The record is from the annotation of a GenBank genome assembly.